UCUCUGUUGGUGAACCAGCGGAGGGAUCAUUACAGAGUUGCAAAACUCCCAAACCAUUGUGAACGUUACCUAUCCCGUUGCUUCGGCGGGCGGCCCGGGCCCCGCGCCCGGCGCCCCCCGGCCCCCCGUGGGCGCCCGCCGGAGGGAAACCAAACCCUUGAAUUGCAUGGCCUCUCUGAGUCUUCUGUACUGAAUAAGUCAAAACUUUCAACAACGGAUCUCUUGGUUCUG
This 231-nucleotide unclassified non-coding RNA is filed under the name plant metagenome. RNAcentral describes it as "partial contains small subunit ribosomal RNA, internal transcribed spacer 1, and 5.8S ribosomal RNA". The record is from RNAcentral.